This 449-nucleotide ribosomal RNA is filed under the name uncultured bacterium. Its description in RNAcentral is "partial 16S ribosomal RNA". It matches the Rfam family "Bacterial small subunit ribosomal RNA", at positions 338 to 795 of the family's 1533-position model. The record is from RNAcentral.
CCUACGGGUGGCUGCAGUGGGGAAUUUUGGACAAUGGGCGCAAGCCUGAUCCAGCCAUUCCGCGUGAGUGAAGAAGGCCUUCGGGUUGUAAAGCUCUUUCGCAAGGGAAGAAAACUUAUCCUCUAACAUAGGAUGAGGUUGACGGUACCUUGAUAAGAAGCACCGGCUAACUACGUGCCAGCAGCCGCGGUAAUACGUAGGGUGCGAGCGGGCAUCGAGAUUGCGGGGCGUAAAGCGUAAGUCAGCUGUGAAAUCCCCGAGCUCAACUUGGGAACUGCGUUUGAAACUACAAGACUAGAAUAGGUCAGAGGGGGGUAGAAUUCCACGUGUAGCAGUGAAAUGCGUAGAGAUGUGGAGGAAUAUCAAUGGCGAAGGCAGCCCCCUGGGAUCAUAUUGACGCUCAUGCACGAAAGCGUGGGGAGCAAACAGGAUUAGAUACCCCUGUAGUC